UGGGGAAUUUUGGACAAUGGGCGAAAGCCUGAUCCAGCCAUGCCGCGUGAGUGAAGAAGGCCUUCGGGUUGUAAAGCUCUUUUAGUCGGAAAGAAAGAGUUGCAAUGAAUAAUUGUGAUUUAUGACGGUACCGACAGAAAAAGCACCGGCUAACUACGUGCCAGCAGCCGCGGUAAUACGGAGGGUGCGAGCGUUGUUCGGAAUUACUGGGCGUAAAGCGCGUGUAGGCGGCCUGGCAAGUCUGAUGUGAAAGCCCCGGGCUUAACCUGGGAAGUGCAUUGGAAACUGUCGGGCUUGAGUACUGGAGAGGAUGGGGGAAUUCCCGGUGUAGAGGUGAAAUUCGUAGAGAUCGGGAGGAAUAUCAGUGGCGAAGGCGCCCAUCUGGACGGUAACUGACGCUGAGACGCGAAAGCGUGGGGAGCAAACA
Molecule: ribosomal RNA, 427 nt
Filed under: uncultured bacterium
Lineage: Bacteria
Description: bacterial SSU rRNA
Rfam family: Bacterial small subunit ribosomal RNA
Source: RNAcentral